Non-coding RNA from Salmo salar (Atlantic salmon), 586 nucleotides. NCBI's taxonomy places the organism in Eukaryota, Metazoa, Chordata, Actinopteri, Salmoniformes, Salmonidae. The record is from the annotation of a RefSeq genome assembly.
CCUUUUUUGUAGUCUGAAAUAAAACUAAAAUAAUAAUAAAAAUGACUACAGUUUCCUAGUAGGACCAAAAAAAGUAUAUUUGCAUAGAGAGGACACUUUGCAUUAGCAGCACAUGCUUCAGUGGUCUGGUAGUGUUUAUAUCCCUGUGAGUUUAACACUUCAUGACUGAGAGCUGUCCUUCAUGACAACAGAACCCACAACAACCAUGACUUUUAUCACCAUAUUCAUCUGGACACUUGCUUUCUGCCUCCAAGAAUCCAGAGGACAGUACACUGUGACUCAAAUUCCUACAGUGAAAGCUGUUCUCCCAGGACAGACAGUCUCUCUGAACUGUAAAACCAGCAGUAAUGUGUAUUCUAAUAAUCGCCUAGCCUGGUACCAGCAGAAACCUGGAGGAGCUCCUGAACUCCUUAUUUACCGUGCUACAACACUUCAGUCUGGGACUCCAUCUAGAUUCAGUGGCAGUGGAUCUGGGAGUGACUUCACUCUGACCAUCAGUGGAGUCCAGGCUGAAGAUGCAGGAGAUUACUACUGUCAGAGUCUCCACAGUGGUCCAGUGUUAACACAGUGAUACAGAGCCGUACAA